UGGGGAAUCUUGCGCAAUGGCCGAAAGGCUGACGCAGCGACGCCGCGUGUGGGAGGAAGCUCUUCGGGGUGUAAACCACUGUUGCCCGGGACGAACGAUGAGCAUUGGCUCAUGUGACGGUACCGGGUGAGGAAGCACCGGCUAACUCUGUGCCAGCAGCCGCGGUAAUACAGAGGGUGCGAGCGUUGUCCGGAAUCACUGGGCGUAAAGGGCGCGUAGGCGGCUCGAUAAGGUUGCGGUGAAAGCCCGGGGCUCAACCCCGGGUCGGCCGUGGCAACUGUCGAGCUGGAGCACUGUAGAGGCAGGUGGAAUUCCGGGCGUAGCGGUGGAAUGCGUAGAGAUCCGGAAGAACACCGGUGGCGAAGGCGGCCUGCUGGGCAGUGGCUGACGCUGAGGCGCGACAGCGUGGGGGAGCAAACAGGAUUAGAUACCC
Molecule: ribosomal RNA, 433 nt
Filed under: uncultured bacterium
Lineage: Bacteria
Description: bacterial SSU rRNA
Rfam family: Bacterial small subunit ribosomal RNA
Source: RNAcentral